GAAAGUAGAAGGCAUUAAGGGGUUUUAAGCAUUGGGAGGGAGGUAGUUUGGGGACCGUGUGACGUGAGCAGAUUUGCAUUUCAGAAUGGUCAUUCCAGCUGCAGUGAGAAGGGGCUGGAGGGCUCAGGGUGGAUGUGGGAGGUCCAUCAAGGAGGUAGAUAUUGCCUCCAUUCUGAGCAAGACACAUGGAUGCCAACUUGGACUGGGAGCUGAAAACGGAGCAAAUGAACUGACCAAGCCAGUUUACCAAGGCAGAUGGAUGGGUGGUGCCAUCUGGAAAGAUGGAGCACUGGAAGAUGAUUGGAUUUGGGUGAAAAGAUCCUGAGAUCUGUUUGGGACAGAAUGGGUCUAGGGAGCCUUUGAAGCUUCCAAGUGGAAAUAACAGUGAUGGAUGGGUCUGGGAUGGAGACAUGCAUUUUGAGAGUCAUCUGCACACAGACUGCAAUGGAAGAUAUGGACAUGAACCAGAUUGCUUCAUAUCACCACUUAAAGCCACCUUCUCUCUCCAGUCACUCCACCUGUGCCUGCCCCCCAUGCAGGGAGACAGGUCUCUGCUGCCUCACAGUGACCCCACAGGCCCCUGUACGAGCUCCUGCUGCUACAGUGCCUCUUGUAUUGUUUUACGGCCACUCGCUUACAUGUCCGUUUUCCCCACUUAUGAUCCAGGAACACCGUGAGGACAGAGACACAUGGCUCUCCUUCUGAUGUCCUCAGCACACAGAGCACAUCCUGACCCUUUUGUGAGCAGUAAGUUACAGGCCCACUUUUCCGACCCACCACAAAGCCCCAGUGCAAUGUUCCUCCAGAAAGAGGUGAAAAUGCUGGCCCAGACCCAAGAGCCUCAUCUAAAACCCAGUCUCAGAGUCCUCAGAGGGGAAAGUAUCUCACUUGCACAUAGAAACCAAGAUGGGCACUGAAGAAUUUUAAAAAGAGAAUGGUACUGAUGUUUUCCCACUGUUACUACAGAUAAGCAAGCACUCAGGGAAUUUAUGGGAGAUGGAUUGACAGGUAGAGAAAUGGGUAAGCUCGGUCCUCAAGGAGCUUCCAGUACCAUCUCUUACUCAGAACUCGCUGUGCUCAUUAUAAGUCAAAACAAAGUUAUGUGUAUUUCAUGUGCAAUAUCUACAAAAAGUCAAAGCCUCAGUCCUCAAGGAGCAUAUAAUUUCAAGAAAAUAUAGAACAAACAUAGAUGAAAAUUUAACUCUAUCAAUACACACAGAGCCACCCCUACCCUCUCCAGUGCCUUUUUCUAAUUAGAAAAAGGUGCCUUUCCUCUAGGCAGACAUGGCACCUCAGUCAGCAGGGUAUGUGACUUGGCUGGAUUCUGGAUUUAAGCCCAUGUCCCCCUACACUGACCUGACAUCUUUGUGCAGUGCACAACCUGCACAACACAUAUAUGACAGGAGUAGCAGGUGCUGAUAACAAGGAGGGAUUGAUAUAGGAUGGAUGAACAGAGACUAGCUAGAACUGAUUGGGUAAGAACAGAAGAAACAACUACAAGGAAUGCCAGAGGCAUAUCCAGUGACAAAUCAGAUUUGACCAAGGCAAAGGGUACACUUGAUGGAGUAAGGAAAUGAGAUUGGGAAGCUUAGUUGGGAAGUAAUUAGGGAAGGCCUCAAACACCAGGCUAAGGAGUUUGCACUUGACCUUGCAGGAACUGACCCCUGCCUAGGGUCAUUAUCCUCCUUUCACCAAAGUAGUGCCACAGAGCAUUGGCUGCCAGUAUCAAUUCUCACCAAAGAAAGUGCCCACUUGCACCCUGAAGGUCAUGAAAGAUACCAGGUGACAAGAAAACAACUAAAUAUCUUUGUGCUGACACAGAACCCCUAAUAAGGUCUAAUCCCUUGCAUUUGUAGCCUGCAUAAAAAUAUAUGUUUUAUAUCCAAUAUAUUUAUUGUUACAAUAGUCUCCUUUGAUUAACAGGAUAAGAAAGCAGGGCAAUUAAGGACCUUGGUGAAAGUCAAAGAAAAAAUCCACAGGGGCAAAGCUGUGACUUGAACCCAGGUCUAUCACUCAGAAUCUGAUGCUCAAGGGCACUCAGCCUCCCUGCACUUGCCUCAGCAGGGUCCCUCUCUCACCAGUCACCACACUGACUACUUGAGUUUGCCAGCCCUGGGUCCUUUCCAAGAAAAGACAAAGCUUCCAAACAAGCAGUAAUGACAUUGAUUAUUCCAAGCCAGAGGCAGGGGAUUCUGGAUCAUUUCCUUAAAAUACUUGCUCAGCAGCACCCGGGUCCUCACCCCCACCGCCCCUGGUCCCAAGAAAGAUAUGUACAGUACUUCAUUAACAUGAAGGGGAGAAUAAUUCCCUGUGGAUUUUUGCAGUCUCAUUUCCCUAGCUUGUCAAAUGCCAGCAGCAAGCCAGUCUGGCUGCAUUGUUAGCUUGGCUGCCUCUUAUUUUUGUAGUGUUUUGCAGAUUGCAGCAGCUUUUUUUUUCCAGCUAGGUGAAAACAUAUCACCUUUAAGCUUCCUGGUGUAUCACUCAAAAGAUUUUCCUAUUCUCCUUGGACUUCAUAAUACAGAAUUCUCUUCUGCUAUCACAAGCCAUUUUUUUUUCUCCAAGAAAGAACAUAACAUUUAUUUUUAAUACCAUACUCCAAGAUAUGUGAUCAAAAUGUAAUUUAAAAAAAAAAACAAAUAAAUAAAAGACUUUCCAAUAUGUCACGCAAAAAAUAAAAGACAUGCUGUUCAAAAGCUAAAUUUCAGUCAUCGUAUUUACAUUCCUUUUUUUUCUGCUUCACCCUUUUGUUACUAAGGAAGUUGGAAUGAAAGGGGAUUUGUCUCUUUUUCUCAAAAACCCAUCUCUCGCUGCUAAGUUUCUCCACACCUGAAUUCACACAUCUCCCACAUCAUGAUAAUUACCUCCAUGGUAACCACUCAUGACAUCACAAACACAAUGUGAUAGCAGAAGAAAUAAGAGCUCCUGAGACCCUGCUGGAUACAAAUGCCCUGUACGACCUAAGGGCCUCCACAGCAGGAACAAAAGGAAUUUUGUCUGAGAUUUUAGCAGAAAAGUAAUUUUUGAAAUCUAUUCUUGGAUUUAGACGUUUAUUGGAUUUCAAAGCUUCUUGCUGCCCAGGAGCUUGUGAAUACGGUCAAAGGUCCAUGAAAUUUCCAAAGUGGUACCACAGCAGAUGAACCUGAAUGCAAACUGGAGGGACCAACAGAGUCCAGCCUAUAGACAUAAAUCCUUAACUACACCUAGAUCUCACUGUCUUUUCCAAUGGUCAAAAGAGGGGCUCUUGAAAUGGCUCCAUUGUUUUAUAGAAACAAGGUCUUCCUAAGAAGUCUUUUUCUCCUAUCUUUUUCUUACCCAAAAUAAAGGAAUGGCCCAAAACCUCAAGCCAAGCUUACCAGCUAUAAACAACUUGGUGGUCAGCAGCCAAAAGAAGAGUGGACAUGCCAUGGUCAUGUGGCACGUACCCUAUACAAGCUUCACAGAGAAGAAUGGAAGCACUUGAUUGUAAGACAGAGGGUGAGAUGUGAGAGGAAUAUUAACCUUCACUUUCCACAGGCAUUUUUUUCUGCAAAUGGCACCAGCUUUUGGACUUAAAAUUUUAUUCCAAAUACUAUUUAGAUGCAUCAGGGCCCUCAAAAUAUGGAUUUCAAGUUGGAGACAUCAAAGUGCAUUAUUUACUAAAACCACUGCAGCUUUUUUCCCCUCUCCUUUCACAAGAUGCUAUUGUAAAUUCAGGCUGCUUUAAUCUCUGUGAUUAAAAAAAAAAAGGAAGAAAGAAAAAAAAAGUGCUGCUUGAAGAGGAACUGAACUCACAAUCUGGGAGCUAGAAAGUAAAUAUUACCCAGAGAGUACCUCACUUUAAUUACUGGCCUGAACAUUGGUUUCAAUUUACAUGUAUUUUAAUUAGCCACAGAAGGGUUCACCUAUUACUCUCUGAAUACAAAACUUAAAAAGCAAACAGAAAAUAGGGAAAGAAAGGCUUAUUUAAGGGCCUCCAAGGAUUAAUCUUUGCAUUCUUCUCAUUUUUUCCCCGAAUUUGGGGAUAAAAUUUGUCGCAGGGAAUUUGAUCUUAGGGAAACAUUGAGUUUGGUUUGUGAACACAAGCUACUUCUGAACACUAUUUUAGCAAACAGAAUUUUAGAAGCAUAAGGCUCUAGCAGAGGGCUAUACAGAAUUUUGCAUAAACUAAAUAACAACCGUUUCCUCCUGAAAUGCAGGAAAUCAAGCUGCACGGUCCUUAGGUCUUCAGCAAAGCUUGGACCACUUGGCAAAGUCUUCUGUCUCCAGAGGAAUGAUGGGAAAACUAUGGGACAAAAGUCAGGAGAGUGGUGCUGGCUGAUCCUGGCCUGGACAUUGACUCCCUGGGGACUUUGGUGCUCUCUCGUGCUCUCUCUGUCUCCAGUGAUAAGCUGACCAGAUGCCUUGAAUUAAGUACAGUAUGCAGCAAUGCCAGCCCUGGACUUUUCCCCAACCUAUCACCCAACCCACUUACCUGGAGCCAAGGGUCACCAACAUCUCUAAUAGAAUCCAACUGUGGAAUAGAAAAACUAUUUCGUCUAAGAAGUGGAUCCUAGCUGUCAAAUAAAAAAUCGCUGUUGAA
RNAcentral lists this long non-coding RNA (4558 nucleotides) under Homo sapiens (human). Its description in RNAcentral is "HSALNT0386282". Lineage: Eukaryota; Metazoa; Chordata; Mammalia; Primates; Hominidae. The record is from RNAcentral.